GGGGAAUAUUGGGCAAUGGGCGAAAGCCUGACCCAGCAACGCCGCGUGAAGGAAGAAGGCCUUCGGGUUGUAAACUUCUUUUAUGAGGGACGAAGGAAGUGACGGUACCUCAUGAAUAAGCCACGGCUAACUACGUGCCAGCAGCCGCGGUAAUACGUAGGUGGCAAGCGUUAUCCGGAUUUACUGGGUGUAAAGGGCGCGUAGGCGGGAAGGCAAGUCAGAUGUGAAAUCCAGGGGCUCAACCCCUGAACUGCAUUUGAAACUGCUUUUCUUGAGUGUCGGAGAGGUAGAUGGAAUUCCUAGUGUAGCGGUGAAAUGCGUAGAUAUUAGGAGGAACACCAGUGGCGAAGGCGAUCUACUGGACGAUAACUGACGCUGAGGCGCGAAAGCGUGGGGAGCAAAC
Molecule: ribosomal RNA, 403 nt
Filed under: uncultured bacterium
Lineage: Bacteria
Description: bacterial SSU rRNA
Rfam family: Bacterial small subunit ribosomal RNA
Source: RNAcentral